This 445-nucleotide ribosomal RNA is filed under the name uncultured bacterium. Its description in RNAcentral is "partial 16S ribosomal RNA". It matches the Rfam family "Bacterial small subunit ribosomal RNA", at positions 354 to 796 of the family's 1533-position model. The record is from RNAcentral.
GUGAGGAAUAUUGCGCAAUGGAGGCAACUCUGACGCAGCCAUGCCGCGUGCAGGAAGAAGGCGCUACGCGUUGUAAACUGCUUUUAACCGGGAAGAAACCCCAGGACGUGUCCUGGGUUGACGGUACCGGAGGAAUAAGCACCGGCUAACUUCGUGCCAGCAGCCGCGGUAAUACGAAGGGUGCAAGCGUUAUCCGGAUUCAUUGGGUUUAAAGGGUGCGUAGGCGGAGCGUUAAGUCAGUGGUGAAAUCCUGCAGCUUAACUGUAGACUUGCCAUUGAUACUGGCGCUCUUGAGCGCGCUUGAAGUGGGCGGAAUGUGCCGUGUAGCGGUGAAAUGCUUAGAUAUGGCACAGAACACCAAUUGCGAAGGCAGCUCACUAAGGCGAUACUGACGCUGAGGCACGAAAGCGUGGGGAUCGAACAGGAUUAGAUACCCUAGUAGUCC